GACGAACGCUGGCGGCGCGCCUAACACAUGCAAGUCGAACGGAGCUGAGAGAAGCUUGCUUUUCUUAGCUUAGUGGCGAACGGGUGAGUAACGCGUGAGUAACCUGCUCUGGAGUGGGGGACAACAGUUGGAAACGACUGCUAAUACCGCAUAAGCCCACGAUCCGGCAUCGGAUUGAGGGAAAAGGAUUUAUUCGCUUCAGGAUGGACUCGCGUCCAAUUAGCUAGUUGGUGAGGUAACGGCCCACCAAGGCGACGAUUGGUAGCCGGACUGAGAGGUUGAACGGCCACAUUGGGACUGAGACACGGCCCAGACUCCUACGGGAGGCAGCAGUGGGGGAUAUUGCACAAUGGGGGAAACCCUGAUGCAGCGACGCCGCGUGGAGGAAGAAGGUUUUCGGAUUGUAAACUCCUGUCGUAAGGGACGAUAAUGACGGUACCUAACAAGAAAGCACCGGCUAACUACGUG
Molecule: ribosomal RNA, 468 nt
Filed under: uncultured bacterium
Lineage: Bacteria
Description: partial 16S ribosomal RNA
Rfam family: Bacterial small subunit ribosomal RNA
Source: RNAcentral